CUAUCAACUUCAGCGCCGGAACUUCCGGCUAUUGCGGCCAUCUUGACUUCCUGACCUUGGGCUUCGGCUGGUCCUUGUCCUUGGUCACUCCGCGCCGUCAUGUCUUCCCUGACGCCGCUGCUGCUGAGGAGCCUGACCGGCCCGGCCCGGCGGCUUAUGGUGCCGCGGGCUCAGGUCCACUCGAAGCCGCCGCGGGAGCAGCUCGGGGUCCUGGUGAGCGGGACGGAGCGGGAGCGGGGAGGUGGGCGAACUGGGGUAGCCUGCGACAUUGGCUUGGGCCUGUCUGCAAGGCGUGGAUGAGACAAGUUGCUCGACUGCUCCUAAACCCUAGUUAUUUUUCCCAAGUUCCUGGCACUGCCAGCCGGUCAGUUUACUCGCUGUUCGGCCUCUCUAAACCGGUCUCUCUUUUUAAUUUUUUUUGCGUGGGAGAAA
This 432-nucleotide long non-coding RNA is filed under the name Rattus norvegicus (Norway rat). Its description in RNAcentral is "long non-coding RNA NONRATT003527". Lineage: Eukaryota; Metazoa; Chordata; Mammalia; Rodentia; Muridae. The record is from RNAcentral.